GAUCAUAUUUUGUGAAAUAUGUAAAAUAUUCCCAAGUAAAACACCAAUAAAAAAUAUAUUAUAUUGUUAUUGUUGCAAUAUCUGUGGUGUAGAGAAUGUUUGAUAUUAAACUUAAUUAAUUUACUGUUUUGUCUUUGAUUUGUGAUUUUUCGACAAAUUUUAUUGAUAAAAAAAUUGACAGUAUAUUAUGAUCUGUCAUUUCUAAAACUGUAUUUGUCACUUGGUUGCUUCAAGAAUCAGAAAUUUUAAUCCAUUCAAAUCAUUAUUAAUCCAGAAAUGGCAAAAGAUGAAGUUAAAAACAAAGUCAAGGACAAGUGUUAUGUAGUCAAGAAUAAUGGCAAAGAGCUGGUUAUAAUAGAUGAUUGUUCUUACACUCAUUAUCCAAAAAAUUGCAAAAAACUCAUCAAAUCUUUAACCAAGUUGCAGGGAUUGGAAAAACUAUUUGAAAAUACUGAUGGUGUCAUUAAAACUGGUUCAAACUCAAAAAGCUUGUGAUUCUGUAAAGUAUGUCAACAUUUCAAGAUGUCAAGAUUGUAACGUAAUAUAUAUCAACAUAAAUACUUUACAAAUUUAAAAA
Aethina tumida (small hive beetle) is the source of this 577-nucleotide long non-coding RNA. RefSeq lists it as uncharacterized. NCBI's taxonomy places the organism in Eukaryota, Metazoa, Arthropoda, Insecta, Coleoptera, Nitidulidae. The transcript has 2 exons. The record is from RefSeq and is a predicted model, not a curated record.